GAACCCGCGAACCCGUGACCGACGACCCGAGAGGAAGACCCGGUUCUUUCUGUGCUUUUCCCGGCGACUUUCCGGCGGAAUCAGUGGCUUUUCCAGUGAAAGAUCCUUGGGGUAAAAGGUCGAUCCUGACGCUAAUGGCAAGUCCAGAUGACAACCGUAAGACGAAGUCUUUUUCUUGUAAGGGAGUAGACCUCGCUGAGAGCGAUAGUUCGUGAUGAACCAGCCAAACCCUAAUAUUGUAUAGUAUGAUUUGUUCCUUUUGGAGUUCAUGAUUUUGUAUAGAUUAUUAAUAG
Molecule: long non-coding RNA, 293 nt
Organism: Alnus glutinosa
Lineage: Eukaryota; Viridiplantae; Streptophyta; Magnoliopsida; Fagales; Betulaceae
Exons: 3
Source: RefSeq, a predicted model, not a curated record